UCCUGGUUAACCCAGGCAGUCUCGCUAGAGUUCCCAGCAUUACCUGUUGGCAACUAACGAUAAGGGUUGCGCUCGUUGCGGGACUUAACCCAACACCUCACGGCACGAGCUGACGACAGCCAUGCAGCACCUGUUCAGCGGCCCCGAAGGGCUUUGAUAUUUCUACCAAAUUCCACUGUAUGUCAAGUCUGGGUAAGGUUCUUCGCGUUGCAUCGAAUUAAACCACAUGCUCCACUGCUUGUGCGGGUCCCCGUCAAUUCUUUUGAGUUUCACCCUUGCGAGCGUACUCCCCAGGCGGUAUACUUAUCGCGUUAGCUACGGCACAGCCAGGGUUGAUUCCAGCUACACCAAGUAUACAUAGUUUACGGCAAGGACUAC
This 378-nucleotide unclassified non-coding RNA is filed under the name uncultured Parachlamydiaceae bacterium. RNAcentral's name for it is "contains 16S-23S intergenic spacer region". The record is from RNAcentral. Lineage: Bacteria; Pseudomonadati; Chlamydiota; Chlamydiia; Parachlamydiales; Parachlamydiaceae.